Phrynosoma platyrhinos (Desert horned lizard) is the source of this 71-nucleotide non-coding RNA. NCBI's taxonomy places the organism in Eukaryota, Metazoa, Chordata, Lepidosauria, Squamata, Phrynosomatidae. The record is from the annotation of a GenBank genome assembly.
GGCUGUGUGGCAUAGUGGUUUGAGUGUUGACUGUGACUCUGAAGGCCAGGGUGCAAUUCCCUGCUUGGCCA